ACCUGGGUGGCUCAGUCGGUUAAGCAUCUGACUUCGGCUCAGGUCAUGAUCUCGUGGUUCGUGAGUUCAAGCCCCACCUCAGGCU
RNAcentral lists this transfer RNA (85 nucleotides) under Felis catus (domestic cat). It matches the Rfam family "tRNA". Rfam says of the family: Transfer RNA (tRNA) molecules are approximately 80 nucleotides in length. Their secondary structure includes four short double-helical elements and three loops (D, anti-codon, and T loops). RNAcentral also lists the same sequence under 1 other name. The record is from Rfam by way of RNAcentral. Lineage: Eukaryota; Metazoa; Chordata; Mammalia; Carnivora; Felidae.